GACGAACGCUGGCGGCGUGCUUAACACAUGCAAGUCGAACGAAGGGCGAUGGAAGCUUGCUUCUAUCAAUCUUAGUGGCGAACGGGUGAGUAACGCGUAAUCAACCUGCCCUUCAGAGGGGGACAACAGUUGGAAACGACUGCUAAUACCGCAUACGAUCUAAUCUCGGCAUCGAGGAUAGAUGAAAGGUGGCCUCGACAUGUAAGCUAUCACUGAAGGAGGGGAUUGCGUCUGAUUAGCUAGUUGGAGGGGUAACGGCCCACCAAGGCGAUGAUCAGUAGCCGGUCUGAGAGGAUGAACGGCCACAUUGGGACUGAGACACGGCCCAGACUCCUACGGGAGGCAGCAGUGGGGAAUCUUCCGCAAUGGACGAAAGUCUGACGGAGCAACGCCGCGGGAGCGAUGACGGCCUUCGGGUUGUAAAGCUCUGUUAAUCGGGACGAAAGGCCUUCUUGCGAAUAGUGAGAAGGAUUGACGGUACCGGAAUAGAAAGCCACGGCUAACUACGUG
Molecule: ribosomal RNA, 510 nt
Filed under: uncultured bacterium
Lineage: Bacteria
Description: partial 16S ribosomal RNA
Rfam family: Bacterial small subunit ribosomal RNA
Source: RNAcentral